GCUAGCCAGAGGGUUUUUGUGGCAAGGGGAUAUGGGGAAGAGGAGGGCAUUGGGAUCUAGAGGUGAUGAAGGACCACAGACAUCUGAACAUCAGUGAGGGUCAGAAGAGGUUGAGAACUUAUUUGUCCUUGGUCCGGUCACAGUGUGCCUGUAAACUGUCAAUAAAACAUAGCUAGUUGUUUACAGACUUCGCCUUUAAUCCCAGAGUUUCAAAAACUACAUGAUUGCUGUUUUGCAUUUUGUCUCAGUGCUCUAAAAUUAUCCUAGCAGACGUGCAGGAAUGAGUAAAGGCCUCUUAAACACAAAUGGAGGGAGUGAUGUUUGUUCUUUGCUUCUUCACUGUUACAGGCCUAAUGUAACCUCAAGUGCUGGAAGUCAGAAAAUGACACCUCAAAAUAUGGCGCUUUGACAUGCUAAGUACAGUCAUCCCUCAGUAUCCAUGCAGGAUUGGUUCCAGCACCCCUGCAGGUACCAAAAUCUAAGGAUGCUUAAUUUCCUUAUAUCAUAUUUGCAUGUUAUCUGUACAUAUCCUCCCAUAUACCUUACAGCAUCGCUAGAUUACUUAUAAUACCUAACACAACAUAAAUGCUAUGUAAAUAGUUAAUUUUUAAAUGUGUGUUUUUUUUUUGGAGACCGAGUCUCGCUCUGUCGCCCAGCUCACUGCAACCUCUGCCUCCCGAGUUCAAGAGAUUCUCCUGCCUCAGCUUCCCAAGUAGCUGGGAUUACAGCCAGGCACCACCAGGCCUGGCUAAUUUUUGUAUUUUUAGUAGAGACGAGGUUUCACCAUGUUGGCCAGGCUGAUCUCAAACUCCUGACCUCGACUGAUCCACUCGCCUCAGCCUCCCAAAGUGCUGGGAUUACAGGCAUGAGCUGCCAUGCCUAGCCAGUAUUAUUUGUAAAUGUUGUAUUGUUAUGAUUGUUUUUUAAUGUUUUCCAUUAGCAAUUGGUUGAAUCUGCAGAUGUGGAAUGCACCGAUGCAGAGGGCUGUAUUUUGAACUGAAGCAGCAGCCUCAGAACGAAGGUCUCUCUGCCCUUCUCCAGUCUCCAUCCUGUGUCUCCAUCCUUUCUUUCCCAAAGCACAGGGAGGGGCUUUCCUGAAGCUUCCCUUAUCUAAGGGAAGUUCCUCCAGAAGGAAUGCAAUUGUCUUGGCCCCGGAACCCACACUAACCAGAGGAGAGACUAAUGCCUUUGUUCCCAGUGCAGCUCCUGCCCUCACCCUCCAUUGCUGGUCGCCACCACCCUCCAGGAGCCUGUAAGCCCCUAAUUCUUUCUGUAGCUCAAAAUGCUAUUUAAGCUUCAACCAUCCGGUCCUUCUUGGAGGCGCCUACCCUGUGUGACCCCUGUGCACAUGCACCUCAUAAAUGUGUGUCUUUCCUCCUGCUCAUCUGUCUCCUGCUGAGUGCAUUUUUCAGGCUCGAAUACUGAACCUCCAGGAGAGAGAGAGAAGGUUCUGUCACUCCUACACAAGGAUCCUUAUAUAUAGAAGAGGGAGACAAAACAAGAGUGUCAGAGUGAGACAGCACCAGAAAGACUCCACCAGCCAUUUCGCUGGCUUUGAAGGCGGAGGAAGAGGCCACAAGCCGGGGGAUCCAGGCAGCCUCCAAAAGCUGGAAAAGGAAAGGAGACAUGGUGUGUUUGUUAACAUGGAGGACCAGCACUGAAUAAAUGUCGCAUCUCUGAUGAGAGCUUAAUAAAGAGAAAACACUUAAGGAAGAAAGACUCGAACCCAUCCUCGGAUUCCCACGGUGAAGACAGCCCUCAUUACUGCAAGCCACCAAACCCUCCCAAGGGCCUCUGACAUAUUAUUUUGGGCACUUAAACCUUUCCUUCUAGAAUAUGGGUCAUAAGCCCUUUCUCUCCCCCAUCUUCUCUCCUCUGACUGAUGACAAAGAAUCUUAAUUAAGUGUCCCUUGGCUGCUGGUUUAAUUUGAUAAAUAUAAAAUUGAAGCAUGCUAAUAAAGCCAUCCAUCAUCCC
RNAcentral lists this long non-coding RNA (1975 nucleotides) under Homo sapiens (human). Its description in RNAcentral is "HSALNT0245518". The record is from RNAcentral. Lineage: Eukaryota; Metazoa; Chordata; Mammalia; Primates; Hominidae.